This 425-nucleotide ribosomal RNA is filed under the name uncultured bacterium. RNAcentral's name for it is "partial 16S ribosomal RNA". It matches the Rfam family "Bacterial small subunit ribosomal RNA", at positions 354 to 796 of the family's 1533-position model. The record is from RNAcentral.
GUGGGGAAUCUUAGACAAUGGGGGAAACCCUGAUCUAGCCAUGCCGCGUGAUCGAUGAAGGCCUUAGGGUUGUAAAGAUCUUUCAGGUGGGAAGAUAAUGACUGUACCACCAGAAGAAGCCCCGGCUAACUCCGUGCCAGCAGCCGCGGUAAUACGGAGGGGGCUAGCGUUGUUCGGAAUUACUGGGCGUAAAGCGCGCGUAGGCGGACCAGAAAGUUGGAGGUGAAAUCCCAGGGCUCAACCUUGGAACUGCCUUCAAAACUCCUGGUCUGGAGUUCGAGAGAGGUGAGUGGAAUUCCGAGUGUAGGGGUGAAAUUCGUAGAUAUUCGGAGGAACACCAGUGGCGAAGGCGGCUCACUGGCUCGAUACUGACGCUGAGGUGCGAAAGCGUGGGGAGCAAACAGGAUUAGAUACCCCUGUAGUCC